GCAGAGGUUUUAGCUAACAGUUAAAAUAGCAUUGUUUCACAGAGGACGCCUGACCCUCGCUAGGCCCCAAAAUAAUAUGAUUCAUACACAGUCUAUUUCAUUUCAGUGGAGUUUAGUGUCACUCCCUCCCUCAGCAUUCAACAGCAUGAGUUCUUCAGUCCAGAACAGACCUACUACGUGGACAUCAGAUUUCGUUGUGGAAAUGUGAUCGCAAAUUGUGGAUUUACUUAGUUGUUCCUGUUGAAUUCACAUUGGAUUUACUUCACUGUUCCUGUUGGAUUGUUUGUUGCUGAGAUAUCACAUGAGUCAACGCUGGAUUUAAAGGUUGUGUACUGCUCUCUGAUGAUGAGAUCGUGCCGGCCCGUCCUGUGCUCAGAUGAGAUCCAGAGGAUGUGAUGGACCACAAA
This is a long non-coding RNA of Ctenopharyngodon idella (grass carp), 407 nucleotides long. RefSeq lists it as uncharacterized. The record is from RefSeq and is a predicted model, not a curated record. The transcript is spliced from 3 exons. Lineage: Eukaryota; Metazoa; Chordata; Actinopteri; Cypriniformes; Xenocyprididae.